CCUACGGGUGGCAGCAGUGGGGAAUCUUGCACAAUGGGCGCAAGCCUGAUGCAGCCAUGCCGCGUGUGUGAAGAAGGCCUUCGGGUUGUAAAGCACUUUCAGCGGGGAGGAAGGCGGUGAGGUUAAUAACCUCAUAGAUUGACGUUACCUGCAGAAGAAGCACCGGCUAACUACGUGCCAGCAGCCGCGGUAAUACGGAGGGUGCAAGCGUUAAUCGGAAUUACUGGGCGUAAAGCGCACGCAGGCGGUCUGUCAAGUCGGAUGUGAAAUCCCCGGGCUCAACCUGGGAACUGCAUUCGAAACUGGCAGGCUAGAGUCUUGAAGAGGGGGGUAGAAUUCCAGGUGUAGCGGUGAAAUGCGUAGAGAUCUGGAGGAAUACCGGUGGCGAAGGCGGCCCCCUGGACAAAGACUGACGCUCAGGUGCGAAAGCGUGGGGAGCGAACAGGAUUAGAUACCCGGGUAGUC
This 465-nucleotide ribosomal RNA is filed under the name uncultured Klebsiella sp. RNAcentral describes it as "bacterial SSU rRNA". It matches the Rfam family "Bacterial small subunit ribosomal RNA", at positions 338 to 795 of the family's 1533-position model. Lineage: Bacteria; Pseudomonadati; Pseudomonadota; Gammaproteobacteria; Enterobacterales; Enterobacteriaceae. The record is from RNAcentral.